UACAGAGGGGGCAAGCGUUGUUCGGAAUUACUGGGCGUAAAGGGCGCGUAGGCGGCCCGCUAAGUCGAACGUGAAAUCCCCGAGCUCAACUCGGGAACUGCGUCCGAUACUGGCGGGCUUGAAUCCGGGAGAGGGAUGCGGAAUUCCAGGUGUAGCGGUGAAAUGACGUAGAUAUCUGGAGGAACACCGGUGGCGAAGGCGGCAUCCUGGACCGGCAUUGACGCUGAGGCGCGAAAGCUAGGGGAGCAAACGGGG
RNAcentral lists this ribosomal RNA (255 nucleotides) under uncultured bacterium. RNAcentral describes it as "partial 16S ribosomal RNA". It matches the Rfam family "Bacterial small subunit ribosomal RNA", at positions 524 to 777 of the family's 1533-position model. The record is from RNAcentral.